GCGGGCAUCGUAUAAUGGCUACUACCUCAGCCUUCCAAGCUGAUGAUGCGGGUUCGAUUCCCGCUGCCCGCUCCA
Molecule: transfer RNA, 75 nt
Filed under: Escherichia coli
Lineage: Bacteria; Pseudomonadati; Pseudomonadota; Gammaproteobacteria; Enterobacterales; Enterobacteriaceae
Description: tRNA-Gly
Rfam family: tRNA
About the family: Transfer RNA (tRNA) molecules are approximately 80 nucleotides in length.
Source: RNAcentral